CUGUGAUCAAAAUAGUGAUAUGGUAAUUAAUGAGUAAACCUUGCCUAAAGGCUUCCACCUCAGUCACACACAAGCCUUGCCCAAAGCUAAAAUAAUAAGCUAGUGGGGGAACACUUUCAGUUGACCACGUAAGCCUUGUUUAAAGUUUAUGAUCUAUCUCUAGACCCUAUGCUGUCCACAAACCUUGCCAUAGGUUUACCCUCCAACAACAAGAUCGGCAUAAGCCAUGCCUAAGGCUAUUGUGUGAAAUAAAA
RNAcentral lists this long non-coding RNA (254 nucleotides) under Carica papaya (papaya). Its description in RNAcentral is "long non-coding RNA (CPAP_LNC004681)". Lineage: Eukaryota; Viridiplantae; Streptophyta; Magnoliopsida; Brassicales; Caricaceae. The record is from RNAcentral.